AGAGUUUGAUCCUGGCUCAGGACGAACGCUGGCGGCGCGCCUAACACAUGCAAGUCGAACGAGCGAGAGAGAGCUUGCUUUCUCGAGCGAGUGGCGAACGGGUGAGUAACGCGUGAGGAACCUGCCUCAAAGAGGGGGACAACAGUUGGAAACGACUGCUAAUACCGCAUAAGCCCACGGGUCGGCAUCGACCAGAGGGAAAAGGAGUGAUCCGCUUUGAGAUGGCCUCGCGUCCGAUUAGCUAGUUGGUGAGGUAACGGCCCACCAAGGCGACGAUCGGUAGCCGGACUGAGAGGUUGAACGGCCACAUUGGGACUGAGACACGGCCCAGACUCCUACGGGAGGCAGCAGUGGGGAAUAUUGCACAAUGGGGGAAACCCUGAUGCAGCGACGCCGCGUGGAGGAAGAAGGUCUUCGGAUUGUAAACUCCUGUUGUUGGGGAAGAUAAUGACGGUACCCAACAAGGAAGUGACGGCUAACUACGUGCCAGCAGCCGCGGUAAAACGUAGGUCACAAGCGUUGUCCGGAAUUACUGGGUGUAAAGGGAGCGCAGGCGGGAAGACAAGUUGGAAGUGAAAUCUAUGGGCUCAACCCAUAAACUGCUUUCAAAACUGUUUUUCUUGAGUAGUGCAGAGGUAGGCGGAAUUCCCGGUGUAGCGGUGGAAUGCGUAGAUAUCGGGAGGAACACCAGUGGCGAAAGCGGCCUACUGGGCACCAACUGACGCUGAGGCUCGAAAGUGUGGGUAGCAAACAGGAUUAGAUACCCUGUAGUCCACACCGUAACGAUGAUUACUAGUGUUGGAGGAUUGACCCCUUCAGUGCCGCAGUUAACACAAUAAGUAAUCCACCUGGGGAGUACGACCGCAAGGUUGAAACUCAAAGGAAUUGACGGGGGCCCGCACAAGCAGUGGAGUAUGUGGUUUAAUUCGACGCAACGCGAAGAACCUUACCAAGUCUUGACAUCCCUUGACAGACAUAGAAAUAUGUAUUCUCUUCGGAGCAAGGAGACAGGUGGUGCAUGGUUGUCGUCAGCUCGUGUCGUGAGAUGUUGGGUUAAGUCCCGCAACGAGCGCAACCCUUAUGGUCAGUUACUACGCAAGAGGACUCUGGCCAGACUGCCGUUGACAAAACGGAGGAAGGUGGGGAUGACGUCAAAUCAUCAUGCCCUUUAUGACUUGGGCUACACACGUACUACAAUGGCGUUAAACAAAGAGAAGCAAGACCGCGAGGUGGAGCAAAACUCAGAAACAACGUCCCAGUUCGGACUGCAGGCUGCAACUCGCCUGCACGAAGUCGGAAUUGCUAGUAAUCGUGGAUCAGCAUGCCACGGUGAAUACGUUCCCGGGCCUUGCACACACCGCCCGUC
Molecule: ribosomal RNA, 1366 nt
Filed under: uncultured bacterium
Lineage: Bacteria
Description: bacterial SSU rRNA
Rfam family: Bacterial small subunit ribosomal RNA
Source: RNAcentral